ACCAACAGGGAUUGCCCUAGUAACGGCGAGUGAAGCGGCAACAGCUCAAAUUUGAAAUCUGGCUCUCGGGCCCGAGUUGUAAUUUGUAGAGGAUACUUUUGAUGCGGUGCCUUCCGAGUUCCCUGGAACGGGACGCCAUAGAGGGUGAGAGCCCCGUCUGGUUGGAUGCCAAAUCUCUGUAAAGUUCCUUCAACGAGUCGAGUAGUUUGGGAAUGCUGCUCUAAAUGGGAGGUAUAUGUCUUCUAAAGCUAAAUACCGGCCAGAGACCGAUAGCGCACAAGUAGAGUGAUCGAAAGAUGAAAAGCACUUUGAAAAGAGAGUUAAAAAGUACGUGAAAUUGUUGAAAGGGAAGCGUUUAUGACCAGACUUGGGCUUGGUUAAUCAUCUGGGGUUCUCCCCAGUGCACUUUUCCAGUCCAGGCCAGCAUCAGUUUUCCCCGGGGGAUAAAGACGGCGGGAAUGUGGCUCUCUUCGGGGAGUGUUAUAGCCCACCGUGUAAUACCCUGGGGGGGACUGAGGUUCGCGCAUCUGCAAGGAUGCUGGCGUAAUGGUCAUCAACGACCCGUCUUGAAACACGGACCAAGGAGUCGUCUUCGUAUGCGAGUGUUCGGGUGUCAAACCCCUACGCGUAAUGAAAGUGAACGCAGGUGAGAGCUUCGGCGCAUCAUCGACCGAUCCUGAUGUUCUCGGAUGGAUUUGAGUAAGAGCAUACGGGGCCGGACCCGAAAGAAGGUGAACUAUGCCUGUAUAGGGUGAAGCCAGAGGAAACUCUGGUGGAGGCUCGCAGCGGUUCUGACGUGCAAAUCGAUCGUCAAAUAUGGGCAUGGGGGCGAAAGACU
Molecule: ribosomal RNA, 838 nt
Filed under: Fusarium sp. 3 JZG-2021c
Lineage: Eukaryota; Fungi; Ascomycota; Sordariomycetes; Hypocreales; Nectriaceae
Description: partial large subunit ribosomal RNA
Rfam family: Eukaryotic large subunit ribosomal RNA
Source: RNAcentral